This 522-nucleotide ribosomal RNA is filed under the name fungal sp. PTFL002. Its description in RNAcentral is "eukaryotic LSU rRNA". The stretch from base 164 to 317 matches the Rfam family "5.8S ribosomal RNA". The record is from RNAcentral. Lineage: Eukaryota; Fungi.
CAGGGUUGGGACCUCACCUCGGUGAGGGCUCCAGCUUGUCUGAAUUAUUCACCCAUGUCUUUUGCGCACUUCUUGUUUCCUGGGCGGGUUCGCCCGCCACCAGGACCAAACCAUAAACCUUUUUGUAAUUGCAAUCAGCGUCAGUAAACAAUGUAAUUAUUACAACUUUCAACAACGGAUCUCUUGGUUCUGGCAUCGAUGAAGAACGCAGCGAAAUGCGAUACGUAGUGUGAAUUGCAGAAUUCAGUGAAUCAUCGAAUCUUUGAACGCACAUUGCGCCCUUUGGUAUUCCAAAGGGCAUGCCUGUUCGAGCGUCAUUUGUACCCUCAAGCUUUGCUUGGUGUUGGGCGUCUUUGUCUCUCACGAGACUCGCCUUAAAAUGAUUGGCAGCCGACCUACUGGUUUCGGAGCGCAGCACAAUUCUUGCACUUUGAAUCAGCCUUGGUUGAGCAUCCAUCAAGACCACAUUUUUUUCAACUUUUGACCUCGGAUCAGGUAGGGAUACCCGCUGAACUUAAGCAU